This 138-nucleotide long non-coding RNA is filed under the name Haliotis rubra (blacklip abalone). RNAcentral's name for it is "uncharacterized LOC124290202". Lineage: Eukaryota; Metazoa; Mollusca; Gastropoda; Lepetellida; Haliotidae. The record is from RNAcentral.
UAUGCAUUCAGUGAUAAUGAUGAUGGCCGUGACUUUCAAAUAACCCUAGUUCAGAAUAUACUUCAUGAGGAAUCGGCACAGGAACAUCUUGAGAAUAUUCCUGGCGUGGAAUGUCCAGAGCUUCCAGUAAGUAUUUUA